Spermophilus dauricus (Daurian ground squirrel) is the source of this 93-nucleotide small nuclear RNA. The record is from Ensembl. Lineage: Eukaryota; Metazoa; Chordata; Mammalia; Rodentia; Sciuridae.
GUAAGCGACUUACUUAGACUAAAAUUGAAACAAUAGAUUAGAUGGUCCUUGUGCAAGGAUGACAUACAAAUUUAUGAAAUGUUCCAUAUUUUU